CAAGCGCGAGGAGCGGGGCGGGGCGAGCGCGCGUGCUCCCGGAUCCUCGGCAGUGUCCGGCGCCCCCUUCCCUUCGCCAGGCCCGUUUGGCGCCUUCACUCGGGAAGACGUCGGCCAGGACUUUGCGCUUUGGAGACGUCUUACUUCGGCAGCACUCGCACACUGCGAGAUCCGACACGGGCAGCGGGGACCUAGGGAGCCGGGGACGCUGCCUGUCGGGUACGGUUCCGCAGCUACCGCAGCCCCGUGGGCCAUGAGUUCUUCCCAUCAGACUCAUAGAGUUCAAGGCACACUGAAGAUAUGCUUCCAGGGGCUUGCAAUGUGUGUUGUCUUCGAGCUGGCAAAGGAGUCCCUGAUGGAAACAGCACUGUGAAUCUACUGGCUCCUGAUUCGUCCACACCCUAGUUAGCAGGAAACAAGGUGCAUACUCUUUGGUAUUUAUCUUUACAAUUGAAAAAAACUUCCCAUUAUAAAUGAGAUAUAUAUUCCUUAUUGAUAAAC
Molecule: long non-coding RNA, 501 nt
Filed under: Homo sapiens (human)
Lineage: Eukaryota; Metazoa; Chordata; Mammalia; Primates; Hominidae
Description: non-protein coding lnc-DCLRE1C-1:2
Source: RNAcentral